This 276-nucleotide long non-coding RNA is filed under the name Populus tremula. RNAcentral's name for it is "long non-coding RNA (PTRE_LNC000699)". The record is from RNAcentral. Lineage: Eukaryota; Viridiplantae; Streptophyta; Magnoliopsida; Malpighiales; Salicaceae.
UGAUUCAUAUACUUUCGUAUUUACAGAGUAAAAUUCAUAAAUUGUUGACAUGCCUAAAUGCUAAAAGGGGACUCCUGGAAGGUGUCCUACAAGGUACACUAGGAAUGGAUUAAAGAUAGUAAAACCCAAUCUCAGAAGUAUAAAACACAUAUUUUCCCUUCAGAAGAUAAUGGAAUGAGUUGAAGGGAAGAUUUUCAAAUCCAAGCACUGAAUGGACUGCCAUGCCCCAGUUUAACUAAAGUUUUAAGGAAGCAGAUAAAUAAACUCAACUCUUAC